This 348-nucleotide long non-coding RNA is filed under the name Mytilus galloprovincialis (Mediterranean mussel). The record is from RNAcentral. Lineage: Eukaryota; Metazoa; Mollusca; Bivalvia; Mytilida; Mytilidae.
ACCCAGCUGAUUCAAUCUGUAUUAAAUUUUCCAUUUUUGUUUUGUUACUAAUUCUUGAUUUCAAAAUUAAGUGAAAUUUUGAAAGCUAUUGUAUUUAAAUGAUACUGGACUAUCUAAAUGCUUAUUCGUAUGGUGUGCUAUUACACCACUGUCCCAGGCUAGGAGAGGAUUGAGCGCACACAAACUUGUUCCCUCCACAUUCUCAAUGUGCCUGUCCAAAGUCAGGAGCCUGUCGUUCAGUGGUUGUUGUUGGUUCAUUUCUGCCAUAUUGUUCUUCGUAAAUUGUAAUACAUUAGACCGUUAUCUUUUUUAAUUAAAUUGUUUCAUAUAUUUUUUUAUGUCGGGGCC